This 95-nucleotide transfer RNA is filed under the name Pseudomonadota bacterium. Its description in RNAcentral is "tRNA-Ser". It matches the Rfam family "tRNA". From Rfam's summary of the family: Transfer RNA (tRNA) molecules are approximately 80 nucleotides in length. RNAcentral also lists the same sequence under 1 other name. Lineage: Bacteria; Pseudomonadati; Pseudomonadota. The record is from RNAcentral.
GGGGAGGUGCCAGAGUGGUCGAUUGGGGCCGCCUGCUAAGCGGUUAACCGGUCUUUAAAACCGGUUCGCAGGUUCGAAUCCUGUCCUCCCCGCCA